Molecule: ribosomal RNA, 305 nt
Filed under: uncultured bacterium
Lineage: Bacteria
Description: partial 16S ribosomal RNA
Rfam family: Bacterial small subunit ribosomal RNA
Source: RNAcentral
UUCCUACGGGGGGCAGCAGUGGGGGAUAUUGCACAAUGGGGGGAACCCUGAUGCAGCGACGCCGCGUGGGUGAAGAAGCGCCUCGGCGCGUAAAGCCAUGUCAGCAGGGAAGAAAAUGACGGUACCUGAAGAAGCAGCCCCGGCUAACUACGUGCCAGCAGCCGCGGUAAUACGUAGGGGGCAAGCGCUAUCCGGAUUUACUGGGUGUAAAGGGGGCGCAGACGGCGAUGCAAGCCAGGCGUGAAAGCCCGGGUCCCAACCCCGGGACUGCUCUUGGCACUGCGCGGCUGGAGUGCUGCAGGGGG